UGCAGGACAAGUUCCCAGGCUAGAGCCACAGGCUGGAAGGUGAAGGAUAGGGUGGAACUGGAGAUCCAGUAAGUCAAGGUCCUGUGUGUCAGGCUCACAAGGCUCCAAGUCAGAGCAGGCAUCCUAGCUGGAUGGCCAAGUCGAGGUGUAUGGGGGGAGCUGGUCUCCUGCUCUACCUUGCUUGUGCUUGAGCUCUAAGGGCCUGCAAGAAGAGAGUGAGUCUGGUCUCUCUGCAUCCUCCAUUGUCUCAGGAUGGCUGCAUCUUUGAGAGGAGUAUAAAGACCCAUGUCUUUGUUGAGUAAACUGACAGGAACACCAAGACCAAAGACAGGACAACAGCCAAGGAUCAGGUGCACUGUGGCACACACGCCUUUGAAGAUCAGAGUAAUGAGUGAGUCCAGCAGCAUGGAAGUGUGUGAAGCAGCAGAACUGUUCACAGAACUGUAAACAUCAGGCCCUCUCCUGGAAUCAUCUCCUCUUUAGAAGUUUGAUUAGAACAUCCAAUGCACAUACAGUGAGACUGAAAGAUGGGCAUAAAUUACUAACCAAACAAGAAAGAAGAACUGUCAUUUAUUAAAAUUGAUUCCUGAGAUAUCAGCUAAGAGGUUCAAAGAGAGAAUGCACUCCUACUUACUAAAAAGAGUUAAUGAUAAAACAGCCUCAAUCAAGUCCUUUAGGAGAGAUUCCAAAAGACUACAGUUCCAUGAGUGCUACAGCCCUGAAGAACUUCCAGUGGGACAAGAUGUGCUGGUGGAAGACAGUUAUGUUGAUGGUCCUGACCCUGUAGAGGCCUAGACUACUUUCUAUGUUUGCCUCCUAGUUUUCACAAUGUUUCAAUAGGAAGAACUAAUAAAAACUUAAAAAUAGCAAAAUUUGUAGAAUAAGAAUAGAAAGAAAAUAUUUUUUGUACAGCUGUGCAGUGUGCUUAUGAUUUAAAAGAGGUAUUAUUAUAAGAGGAAAACAGUUCAUUUCAAAUGUUUGCAAAUUUUAAAAGUUACAGUGAACCAAAGGUAAUCUCUUAUUGAGGAAACAAAAAAUUGUUACAAUUUUAAUGUCACCCAAAUGUACCAUUUGUAUUUACUCUAAGUAGCAUAAGGUCAUGUCCUUGACCUUCACAUGUACUCACUGAUUCAUCUGGAGCAACUUCUUGCCCUCUGGGUUGCAUUGGUGGCUAAUCCUCAUGACAGGUUAACUAUUUUUACCUUUGCAAUCAUACCUUUAUUGUACCCUUUUCUAUGUUCACAUAUGCGAAUAUUUACCCUUGUUUUACAACUUUUAGUGGCAUUGAAUACAUAGCAGGCCUAUAUAGUGUUGAUGUAUAGAAUGAUAGGCUACAGUAUAUAGCCUGAGUAUAAUAAGACCUACAAUCUAGGUUUAUGUUAAGUGCACUUUAUAUUAUUUGCACAAUGACAAAAUCAUAGAAUGACAUAUUUGACAAAACAUAUCCCUGUCAUUAAAAAAUUUAUGAGUAUAAUUAAAAUGAAAACUGAAAAAGGAGGUAUCACAAUUAAUGCCACAGAAAUGAAAUGAAUUAAAUUUGAUAAUAUAGAAGAAGUGGAUAAAUAUCAAAACACCAUGACUAAAUCAUGAGGAAAUAACAAUAUAACUAGAAGGGAGAUUAAACAAGUAAUUAAUACCUUCCUCAAAAGCCAAGCUCAGGACCGGAUGGCUUCACUGGUGAAUUCAACCAAAUAUUUGAAGAAUUAUACUGUAUGGUUCAUUUUGUCAACUUGAUUGAAUCAAGAGACAGGUGAUUAAUAAACACAAUUCUGUGCCAGUUCUGUGGGUCUUGAGGGUAUUACACAGAGAACCACAUCUGAUCCCUGGUCUCUUAAUCUCUCGACCUUCCUGUGCUCUGUGCUUCCUGGAUGCCAGCAGGUGAACAGAUUUCCUCUGCCUUGCCCUUCUACCGUCAUGUUUCUGCCUUCAAACCAGGCACUCAUGGACUGAAAUGUUCGAAACUGUGAGCCAAAAUAACCCUCUUCUCUUUUAAAUUACAAGUGACAAACA
Long non-coding RNA from Chinchilla lanigera (long-tailed chinchilla), 2010 nucleotides. RefSeq lists it as uncharacterized. The record is from RefSeq and is a predicted model, not a curated record. The transcript is spliced from 5 exons. NCBI's taxonomy places the organism in Eukaryota, Metazoa, Chordata, Mammalia, Rodentia, Chinchillidae.